UACGAAGGGGGCUAGCGUUGUUCGGAAUUACUGGGCGUAAAGCGCACGUAGGCGGAUUGUUAAGUUAGGGGUGAAAUCCCAGGGCUCAACCCUGGAACUGCCUUUAAUACUGGCAAUCUCGAGUCCGAGAGAGGUGAGUGGAAUUCCGAGUGUAGAGGUGAAAUUCGUGGAUAUUCGGAGGAACACCAGUGGCGAAGGCGGCUCACUGGCUCGGUACUGACGCUGAGGUGCGAAAGCGUGGGGAGCAAACAGG
Molecule: ribosomal RNA, 253 nt
Filed under: uncultured bacterium
Lineage: Bacteria
Description: partial 16S ribosomal RNA
Rfam family: Bacterial small subunit ribosomal RNA
Source: RNAcentral